Sceloporus undulatus (fence lizard) is the source of this 375-nucleotide long non-coding RNA. RefSeq lists it as uncharacterized. The transcript is spliced from 3 exons. NCBI's taxonomy places the organism in Eukaryota, Metazoa, Chordata, Lepidosauria, Squamata, Phrynosomatidae. The record is from RefSeq and is a predicted model, not a curated record.
UAGAGAAGCCAACUUGGUGGGUAGUCAAGAUGGAGCCUUGCCAAUAAGAGAACCCUCAUGAUUGAACUCUUUCCUGAGACAGAAACGAACCUGUAACUCUGACAUUAAAUCGAAGGGAAUUGACCAGGGGCCUCAGGCAAAAUGGCUCACUGUGUGGGAUGAUGGUCCUACCCACCUGAAUCCCCUGGAGGACAGUGUGAGAGCCAGGGAGCUACCUGCAGCUUCCUCAGUCACGUCUGGUGCAACGGCUGGUAGAUCAAGGAGCUGCUCUGCAGUGCCUACUAUCUUCAGGAUGAAAGAGUGUCUUCAGAUAACCUUGAUGCUAAUGGAGCAGAAGAGUGUCUCUGAGGUCAUGAUGGAAAGGCCAUAGCUUUG